CUGUGGACAGUACCGAUUUAUCAGUGUUUUGAAAGAAAGAGGUGGGGGAUCUGCACAUAAAGGAGCGUCUUCCAUUUCGCAGUGCUUGCUCUAAGAAGCUUGGCUUUGGGCUCUACCAAGGAGCCAGAAGGACAGACUGACGUCCCCACAGCCCCGGCCCCCUGGGCAUGCCCUGCUCUGCCUCUCCUGUUCUGGCUGCAGCUGACUUGGAUCUGGAGCAGUUUCAAUUUCUGUCCUAUACGGUGCUAAAAUCAAUUUCAGUGCAAAGCGACUAAUUAAGAGCAAUAAUUAUGCAGAUGGCUUCAGAGCAGGGCCCUCCCCUGCCUUGCUGCAAUUUUUCAACAUUUAAAGUCGAAAAAGCUUGUAUGAUCCUUGCACCCAUGUACAGCUUGAAAGUACAAAACGGGGUGCUUUAAAAGACCGUGGUGAUAAAUUGCUCCCAUAAAUGAUGAGAAAUGUUUAAAUCAAUAAAACGUUUGUUUAGAUGUCCAUAUGGAGGAAAGAUACAGUCUGUUGCUCUUCAUAUUGGAUUGAUCCCACUGUGUUAAAUUACAGCUGGCUACAGCCCUGCGUCGUUUACUGCACAGCUUGACAAGCAUGUCAAAUAUUCACACUGAGCACAAAAAUUUUGAGUGUCUGAUCUCUGCAUUGUCCUUGUCACUUCCUCCCAGCCAGGGCCAAAUUAAAGGCUGCUUAAUACGGGGGGAAGCUUGCCACAGCUCUCCCACAAGCCUUUAGCCACAUUACCCGAUAUCCUCUCGGAUGGCCCGGGGGAGCGAGCAGCUGGGGAGCAGAUGUAGGCGGUCUUCUGCACGUGACCGCGCGCCUGCCUAUAGCGCUAGCCACUUUGGGGAUUUAUCAGCUGCUGUGGGCUGGUGGUCAUAAAUACAUAAAUACAGCAGGAACGUGGGCAGGGUCUUAAAGGAGUCGCUGCUGUUGGAAGGCGCCCGCUCUGUGCUCCUGGGAGGGUGGUAGCAGUGGUGGUGGGUGGCAGGGGGAGCAGCAAGGGCACCCAAGUGGGAGAAGGGAGCUCUGGGUGAUGCUCCCAGCCUUCUGCUGCUUUUUCUAGGUGACCCGUGCCUUUCCUCACAAUGCAGAGCAGCGUGGGAUAUAACCAGGGAUCCCAUGGAGAGGUCAGGGAAGAGGCUGAGACAGUUAAUGGGGUUCCUGUGUUGUCAGUGCUGCAAAGUCUCGGGCUGCUCAGUCCCAGUGGGUUCACUUCAGUGGGUUCACUUCAGGUCUGUUUGUACAUACCUGGCGAUGAAGCAAGAUGUGAAGUGCCUUUGAUGUUUUAAAUGGCUUGGAUCUGUGAAAGUGAAGCUGAACUCGGCUUUGACUUUAAUGAAACAAACAGAGAGAUGACUACAAAUGCCAAUUGCUACUUUUAAAAAAGGUACCAGUGUGGAAAAAUAAGCAGGGCACCGGCAGUAAUGUCAACAGUUCUUUUAAAAAUAACUUAAUUUCUUUAAAUAACUUUAAACGUAUUUCAGAAUAGCUUAAAAUGUUAUUUUAAGAGACAGAGGGCCUUUUUCAUUAGAUGAUGAAAGAGGGUGUUAAUUUUUCAGAAAUCUGGCAUUUUGUCAACAUCUGCCUUUGAAAUUUAUGAGGACAAACUU
Cygnus olor (mute swan) is the source of this 1616-nucleotide long non-coding RNA. RefSeq lists it as uncharacterized. The transcript has 2 exons. The record is from RefSeq and is a predicted model, not a curated record. NCBI's taxonomy places the organism in Eukaryota, Metazoa, Chordata, Aves, Anseriformes, Anatidae.